RNAcentral lists this unclassified non-coding RNA (253 nucleotides) under plant metagenome. RNAcentral's name for it is "partial contains small subunit ribosomal RNA and internal transcribed spacer 1". The stretch from base 1 to 47 matches the Rfam family "Eukaryotic small subunit ribosomal RNA", at positions 1785 to 1831 of the family's 1831-position model. The record is from RNAcentral.
AAGGUCGUAACAAGGUUUCCGUAGGUGAACCUGCGGAAGGAUCAUUAAAUGAGAAAAUGGGCUUCGGUCCUGACCUCCAACCUUUGUUUACCUUACCACUGUUGCCUCGGCGGGUCGUCGACCCCUUUUGAUCGGGGACGCCGCCGUCGGCCUUCAAAACGCUUUCGAGUUGCCCAGCCGCCAGGCCCAAAGUCUAAAAUUUGCUUUGUAAAUCCCGAGUCUUUCUGAGAGUAAAGUUUAAUUACUUCAAAAG